AGCGAACGCUGGCGGCAGGCUUAACACAUGCCAGUCGAGCGGGCAUCCUUGUGGUGUCCGCGGCAGACGGGUGAGUAACGCGUGGGAACGUGCCCUUCGGUUCGGAAUAACUCAGGGAAACUUGAGCUAAUACCGGAUACGUGCGAGAGCAGAAAGGUUUAUCUGCCGAAGGAUCGGCCCGCGUCAGAUUAGCUAGUUGGUGAGGUUACGGCUCACCAAGGCGACGAUCAGUAGCUGGUCUGAGAGGAUGAUCAGCCACACUGGGACUGAGACACGGCCCAGACUCCUACGGGAGGCAGCAGUGGGGAAUAUUGGACAAUGGGGGCAACCCUGAUCCAGCCAUGCCGCGUGAGUGAUGACGGCCUUAGGGUUGUAAAGCUCUUUUCUCCGGGACGAUAAUGACGGUACCGGAGGAAUAAGCCCCGGCUAACUUCGUG
Molecule: ribosomal RNA, 437 nt
Filed under: uncultured bacterium
Lineage: Bacteria
Description: partial 16S ribosomal RNA
Rfam family: Bacterial small subunit ribosomal RNA
Source: RNAcentral